RNAcentral lists this ribosomal RNA (445 nucleotides) under uncultured bacterium. RNAcentral's name for it is "partial 16S ribosomal RNA". It matches the Rfam family "Bacterial small subunit ribosomal RNA", at positions 354 to 796 of the family's 1533-position model. The record is from RNAcentral.
GUGAGGAAUAUUGCGCAAUGGAGGCAACUCUGACGCAGCCAUGCCGCGUGCAGGAAGAAGGCGCUACGCGUUGUAAACUGCUUUUAACCGGGAAGAAACCCCAGGACGUGUCCUGGGUUGACGGUACCGGAGGAAUAAGCACCGGCUAACUUCGUGCCAGCAGCCGCGGUAAUACGAAGGGUGCAAGCGUUAUCCGGAUUCAUUGGGGUUAAAGGGUGCGUAGGCGGAGCGUUAAGUCAGUGGUGAAAUCCUGCAGCUUAACUGUAGACUUGCCAUUGAUACUGGCGCUCUUGAGUGCGCUUGAAGUGGGCGGAAUGUGCCGUGUAGCGGUGAAAUGCUUAGAUAUGGCACAGAACACCAAUUGCGAAGGCAGCUCACUAAGGCGAUACUGACGCUGAGGCACGAAAGCGUGGGGAUCGAACAGGAUUAGAAACCCGUGUAGUCC